RNAcentral lists this ribosomal RNA (1341 nucleotides) under metagenome. Its description in RNAcentral is "bacterial SSU rRNA". It matches the Rfam family "Bacterial small subunit ribosomal RNA", at positions 8 to 1344 of the family's 1533-position model. The record is from RNAcentral.
AGAGUUUGAUCCUGGCUCAGAUUGAACGCUGGCGGCAUGCCUUACACAUGCAAGUCGAACGGUAACAGGGAGCUUGCUCCGCUGACGAGUGGCGAACGGGUGAGUAAUAUAUCGGAACGUACCAUUCAGUGGGGGAUAACGUAGCGAAAGUUACGCUAAUACCGCAUAUUCUGUGAGCAGGAAAGCAGGGGAUCGCAAGACCUUGCGCUGAUUGAGCGGCCGAUAUCAGAUUAGCUUGUUGGUGAGGUAAAAGCUCACCAAGGCGACGAUCUGUAGCGGGUCUGAGAGGAUGAUCCGCCACACUGGAACUGAGACACGGUCCAGACUCCUACGGGAGGCAGCAGUGGGGAAUUUUGGACAAUGGGGGCAACCCUGAUCCAGCCAUGCCGCGUGAGUGAAGAAGGCCUUCGGGUUGUAAAGCUCUUUCAGCCGGGAAGAAAACGCAUGGGUUAAUACCCUGUGUGGAUGACGGUACCGGAAUAAGAAGCACCGGCUAACUACGUGCCAGCAGCCGCGGUAAUACGUAGGGUGCGAGCGUUAAUCGGAAUUACUGGGCGUAAAGCGUGCGCAGGCGGUUUUGUAAGACAGGCGUGAAAUCCCCGGGUUUAACCUGGGAACUGCGUUUGCGACUGCAAGGCUAGAGUACGGCAGAGGGGGGUGGAAUUCCACGUGUAGCAGUGAAAUGCGUAGAGAUGUGGAGGAACACCAAUGGCGAAGGCAGCCCCCUGGGUCGAUACUGACGCUCAUGCACGAAAGCGUGGGUAGCAAACAGGAUUAGAUACCCUGGUAGUCCACGCCCUAAACGAUGUCAACUAGGUGUUGGGAGGGUAAAACCUUUUAGUACCGGAGCUAACGCGUGAAGUUGACCGCCUGGGGAGUACGGCCGCAAGGUUAAAACUCAAAGGAAUUGACGGGGACCCGCACAAGCGGUGGAUGAUGUGGAUUAAUUCGAUGCAACGCGAAAAACCUUACCUACCCUUGACAUGCCAAGAACUUUCCAGGAUGGAUUGGUGCCCGAAAGGGAACUUGGACACAGGUGCUGCAUGGCUGUCGUCAGCUCGUGUCGUGAGAUGUUGGGUUAAGUCCCGCAACGAGCGCAACCCUUGUCGUUAAUUGCCAUCAUUUAGUUGGGCACUUUAACGAGACUGCCGGUGACAAACCGGAGGAAGGUGGGGAUGACGUCAAGUCCUCAUGGCCCUUAUGGGUAGGGCUUCACACGUCAUACAAUGGUCGGUACAAAGGGUCGCCAAGCCGCGAGGUGGAGCCAAUCCCAGAAAGCCGAUCGUAGUCCGGAUCGCAGUCUGCAACUCGACUGCGUGAAGUCGGAAUCGCUAGUAAUCG